Long non-coding RNA from Pteropus alecto (black flying fox), 2858 nucleotides. RefSeq lists it as uncharacterized. Lineage: Eukaryota; Metazoa; Chordata; Mammalia; Chiroptera; Pteropodidae. The transcript has 5 exons. The record is from RefSeq and is a predicted model, not a curated record.
GGAGCUGAAGAAUAGUUGGGGAGAAGCAAGGCGCUGCUGUGUUUAGCUGAGGGUAGAGCAGGGCAGAGCUGGGGGAAAGUUGUGCAGGGGAAUCUAGACGGAACCGGGUGAGGAGGAAAAUUUGCACUGUUUCCUGCUGUUUCUCUGAGCUGACAUGUCCCAAACAAGGCUAAUUUCCCUGUCAGAGCUGUUUCCUCCUUUCCACCUCUCAGGGCUCGACCCUCUCAGUGCCAUCAUACUUUGUUCCUGGCGUCCCCUUAUCCCCUCCCUUCCUUGCUUUUAGUUGAUGGCCAAGUCUUGUGUCCCUGCCUCUGAAAUGCCUGAUCGGAAUAAAUGCUCCUCUUCCUGUUCCCACUGCUACUCCCUGAACUCUGGCUUCAUGGUCCUGGUUCAGUGCUAUUACCUGAGACCCCACACUGGCCUGGACACCCGCGUCUUUCCUCCUGAGGGUCCUCCACACGCCAUUGAACCGCACAUCUCUCUCUGUGCAGAAGCUGGAGGAAACAGGAAUGCUGGCGAUGAGAUCCUGUCGUUUGAAGAAAUAGAACUUGCCCAGUGAGCUAGAGACUUACACUCUAUGGCUGCUAGCGUGGGACAGUCGUGAUGGCACUACAGAAGGUCUCCCUUUUCUGACCCCCCUGUGUAUGCUGAGAACGGGGUGUACGAUCUCCCUUGGGGAAUGGAACAGUAAAGGUGAAGAGUGUGAUCUGAUGAGCAGAAGUUCAAAGGUAGUGGCUGCAAGGCCAAUUCGCUGCCGGGUGGGUGGGCCCAGGAAGAGUGGCAUGGCCAUGUCGCAGGUGGGAGUGGGAUGGUGUUUGGCUGCCCAUGUCAAAUGGACCCAUUUGCAACUCAGUCUUGAUUUUCAGUACAAAUGAAAAGUUGGCACCAAACCCUAAAAGGAUCUGAUUUCUGAUCUCUGGAUGACGUUCUCUUCUCUACUUGCUUCUCAUGCCAUCUCAGGAACAAAGUGCUGACAGGGACAGGCCUUCGUUCCCUCGCUCUCCAGUCAUGGCAAGCAGGUCAGCCUUCACCACCCGGACCCAGCCCAAGCCAACUUGCGUUGCUUGGCUUUCCACGGGCGCCCCCGAGCCCCGGCAGCUGUCAGAGGACAUCGGGGUCUUCUUGGGACUCCGUCUGCUCCCUCCCAGACACUGUUAGAACACGCCCAGCCUCCCGGAGCAGGAGAGAGGCUCCUCCUUAAGCUGUUUCUUCCCCAGUCCGGGACUCCAUCCCCAGAACGCGCCCUGUCUUUCUUGCAGGAUGUCCUUGCUAUUUCCACCAUUGCUCUUUGAGGGGACCAUGCCCAUGGCCAUGGCCUCCUCUUCUGAGCCCAGGGCGCCUGCUGAGAGUCAGCCUCCCUUUCUUGGCCCCCUGGCGGCACCCUGCAGAACUCACUCUCCCCAUGGCCCUCUGAGCACUUAAAUCUUUGCAGGUUGCUGGUCCAGCCCCCCACCUGUCACCCCAUGCUGCUGUGAUUCUGAGGCCCUGAGAGGAAAGGUUGCAUUUUGCUCCUGCCAUGGGUUUUGUGGCACCACCGGGCUGGGACCGGCUUGACCCAAAUUCCUGGUUUCCCUUCUGGACCUGUCGAUUCCUGCUCCUGCCCUUCGCAGGUUUGUUUCCUCUUCCUUGCCAGCCUGCUUGGGACUCAGUGUUUGCCUAGAUUCUCCAAACUCGUCAUCCCACUUUCUAAGAGAUUCCUCAGAAGACAUCUCACUGCGCUCGGCACCUUGUUCUGGAGCCUACUGGAUGCCUGGCUCUCCCUGCUCCAGACGACCGACCUCCUUGGGACUGGCCCAGUAUACCUUGGACCCAGUGACAUCCUCCGCGCAGAAACUCCAGCACAGGGGGUCCUCCAGAAGCAGAUGCAGAGACAGCUUAUUGAGCCACCCACCUCCGUGUCAAGUUGGACACUGCGUCCUGCAGCCUCGAACUCUCUGGUUUUCCCCUUUCCCAGUGUUCAGUCACCUGGUACAUGGGCGGAGGUCCCUCUGAGAAGGGCUGGGGGACCAUCCCAGUGUCUUCCCGCCAUGCCGCUGCAGCAUCCUUCCCCUGGGCGACCCGGCCACCUCCCUAGUCCAUGGUUCCAGGUCGGAAAGCUGCCUCAGGGGCAGAACCUGGGCAAGAGAUUGUGACUUGUUUGUCGGGCGGCUGACUUCGGCCUCUUGCUGUCUGUUUUUGCUCUUCUGAGUUUCCACUCUAGGCUGUAUCUUGGUCAGUCACCAUCCACGUGCCCCCAGGGAGGCCACGUGUACUGAGCACGGCCACCACUCUGUGGGUGAGGCCGCCUAGUCAGUGGUGUCCGUCAUCAUGAGCCUUCUGGUCCUUUAGCGCUGACCUGGGCCUCUGCUGCAGUUCCUGGGGCGGUGGGAGGUGUGGUCCCUUUCCUCCCAUUCCAGGCCUGGCAGGCCGUGCUCGUGUGCUCACCCUGGAUGGGGGCCUGGCAAUAGGCUGCCACUUCUUUCUGCUUUUCCUGGGACUCUCCCAGUUGCAGCACGUCCAGUCCCACAGCAAGUCGGGGUGGUUGGUCCCCCUCCCUCCAGGGAUGGAGGGCACCUGUGGGGAAGACCAGUGUAAUGGGAAGCCUAUUUUGUCAUGCUCUCAGCCACACGCGUUAGCUCUUAGUGAAAGUAGGCUACUCCCUUAAAAACUGCUCGAUGAUUUGAAGCUACUGUGUGAAUGCGGCUGAUAUGUGGGAGGGUGUUUCACCUUCUGCUCGGAUGGGAUGUUUAAGUACUUUAAAAAAAUAUCAGCUUUGAAAUUUCAGUAGUGGGAGUCAUUCCAGUCUAGGGUGUUUAUAGCAAUGUGGGCUGCUUUGUGUUCCUUAAAUUGCAUUAUAUACACCAAAAAGUCAUUCUUCA